GGUAGUAUGGCCGAGGCUAGGUGGCGGGUUGUAGCCCCGCAGACAGAGGAAUCUCUUGCUAUCA
Molecule: transfer RNA, 64 nt
Filed under: Heteronotia binoei (common prickly gecko)
Lineage: Eukaryota; Metazoa; Chordata; Lepidosauria; Squamata; Gekkonidae
Description: tRNA-Tyr
Source: RNAcentral